RNAcentral lists this unclassified non-coding RNA (387 nucleotides) under soil metagenome. RNAcentral's name for it is "partial contains 5.8S ribosomal RNA, internal transcribed spacer 2, and large subunit ribosomal RNA". The stretch from base 1 to 122 matches the Rfam family "5.8S ribosomal RNA", at positions 35 to 154 of the family's 154-position model. The record is from RNAcentral.
GAUGAAGAACGUAGCGAAAUGCGAUAAGUAAUGUGAAUUGCAGAAUUCAGUGAAUCAUCGAAUCUUUGAACGCACCUUGCACCCUUUGGACUGCUCCAAAGGGUAUGCUCGUUUGAGUGUCAUUGUACUCUCACACUCUCUGAUCCUUUGGAUUUGGGGAGCAGUGGACUUGGGUGCUUGCUGCUUCCUUGUGGCUCACCUGAAAUGCAUCAGUGCAUCUCUCGAUUGGACAUAGUACGGCGUGAUAAGUGUCUUCGCCGGCACCUCAUAUGAGGGUGGCCGAUCGGGAGCUCUGUGCUUUCAAACCGUCUUCGGACAACGCUGUCAACUUGAACUCAAAUCGAGUAGGACUACCCGCUGAACUUAAGCAUAUCAAUAAGCGGAGGA